Oncorhynchus tshawytscha (Chinook salmon) is the source of this 3067-nucleotide long non-coding RNA. NCBI's taxonomy places the organism in Eukaryota, Metazoa, Chordata, Actinopteri, Salmoniformes, Salmonidae. The record is from Ensembl.
ACACACACACACACACACACACACACACACACACACACACACACACACACACACACACACACACACACACACACACACAAACACACACAAACUUGUCCACUUCUAUCCACCCUUUCCAUUGGCCCCCGAACAGUGUCACUGUGAGAGCCAGUGUAGACACAAUUAAGGAAGGUGAAAUGUGCUGCCAUAUCUCUUUGAGUGGUAAGAUACGAUGUUCCCUUUGAGAUGGGAGCAGGGUAGCUGGGUUACCAGUUCUGUUUCUGCUCUAGCAAACACCGGUGUUUGUUGUUGUAGUCAGGUUUGACUGUUGGCUGGAGCCGUAAUGGAUCUGGCAACCAGGCUAGUAGCAAUGGGAAGAAAAGAGAUGGACAGAUUGAGAGUAGCUACUAUAGAAUGAGGUCUACGACAGGGGAGUGAGAGUGUCAGACGGGUGAGGAGGUUGUCCUUGAUUUGUUCAACACAGUGUGACGUCCGAUUGCUACUCUGAGCACUCGCCAUAAAUCGUCAUCUACAUUCUUAGGAAAAUGGGUUCCAAAAGGGUUCUGCGGCUGUCCCCAUAGGAUAACCUUUUUUGGGAAGGGAAAGGGUAUAUUUAGUCAGUUGCGCAACUGAAUGCAUUCAGUCUUCCACAUUUAACCCAAAGUGUCUUAAUUAGAGAACUGUAGGAGGCUGCCUCAUCGGCACUCUGGGGGGAAGUUGUUGUGGGGGUUAACUGUGUUGCUCCACCUUGCUGGUUCGGGGAUUCGAACAAGCAACCUUUUGGUUACUGUCCCAAUGCUCUAACCGCUAACGGGUUCUACAUGAUACCCAAAAUGGUUCUACCUGGAACCAAAAGGGUUCUUCCCGGAACCAAAAGGGGCUCUUCAAAGGGUUCUCCUAUGGGGACAGUCGAAGAACCCUUCUUGGAUCUAGAUAGCACCUCUUUCUCUAUGAGUGUACUUGAGGGGUGUGAAGCGCUUAACGCUAAACUCCUACCCCGUGUAAGAGAAUACAAUGCUGUACGUACGUUGUGCCCAGAUGGGGUUACUGUUGCGGCGUGUCUAAAUAUAACUGAUUCAUGAUAGCUGGGGUUGACUUUCACUGUCUUACAUGAGCACUGGGGCCAUCUCGCUUUACGCAAAUACACAGAGACCAAACCCAUGGACAUGCUGGGAACCACGUGUAGAUAAGGUUACGGCUAUGGACGAAUACACAUACAGUGACUUCAGAAAGUAUUCACCUCCCCUCCCAAAAAAUGAAUAUAUAUGUAUAUACAUAUUUUAAAAUACACUAAUAUAUCUUGAUUAGAUAAGUAUUCAACCCCCCCUGAGUCAAUACAUGUUAGAAUCACCUUUGGCAGCAAUUACAGCUGUGAAUCUUUCUGGGUAAGUCUCUAAAUCAAAUCAAAUCAAAUUUAUUUAUAUAGCCCUUCGUACAUCAGCUGAUAUCUCAAAGUGCUGUACAGAAACCCAGCCUAAAACCCCAAACAGCAAGCAAUGCAGGUGUAGAAGCACGGUGGCUAGGAAAAACUCCCUAGAAAGGUCAAAACCUAGGAAGAAACCUAGAGAGGAACCAGGCUAUGUGGGGUGGCCAGUCCUCUUCUGGCUGUGCCGGGUGGAGAUUAUAACAGAACAUGGCCAAGAUGUUCAAAUGUUCAUAAAUGACCAGCAUGGUCAAAUAAUAAUAAUCACAGGCAGAACAGUUGAAACUGGAGCAGCAGCACGGCCAGGUGGACUGGGGACAGCAAGGAGUCAUCAUACCCGGUAGUCAAGAGCUAAGAGCUUUGCACACCUGGAUUGUACAAUAUUUGCACACUAUUUUUUACAAUUCUUCAAGGUCCGUAAAGGUGGUUGUUGAUAAUUGCUAAACAGUAAUUUUCAAGUCUUGCCAUAGAUUUUCAAGACGAUUUAAGUCAAAACUGUAACUAGGCCACACACAAUGUCAUCUUGGUAAGCAAGUGUGUAUUAGGCCUUAUGCUGAAAGGUGAAUUUGUGUCUGUUGGAAAGCAGACUGAACCAGGUCUUCCUCUAAGAUUUUGCUUGUUUAUUUUAUUUAACCUAUAUUUAACCAGGCAAGUCAGUUAAGAACAAAUUCUUAUUUUCAAUGACUGCCUAGGAACAGUGGGUUAAUUGCCUGUUCAAGGGCAGAACAACAGAUUUGUACCUUGUCAGCUCGGGGGUUUGAACUUGCAAACUUCCGGUUACUAGUCCAACGCUCUAACCACUAGGCUACCCUGCCGCCCCACACUGCUUGUGUUUAGCUUUAUUCUGUUUCUUUCAAACCAUAAAAAACUUACUAGUCCUUGCCGGUGACAAGCAUACCCAUAACACAAUGCAGCCAACACCAUGCUUGAAAAUAUGAAGAGUGGUACUCAGUGAUGUGUUGUGUGGGAUUUGCCCCAAACAUUUCAGGACAAAAAGUGAAUUUCUUUGCUAGUUUUACUUUCAUGCCUGGUUGCAAACAAAUAUUUCUAAAAACAACAACACACAAUUUGUAGACAUUUGAGUGCUUGACUUUUAAAGGUAGUUUACCUUUGAGCCGACAUCUGCAGAGUUUACCUCUGAACGUCAGGGAAACUGCCUUUAAAGUCAAGUGCAGUGCGAUGUUUGCACAAUAGUUUGCCAAUGGAAUUCCCCCCACUCCAAGGUGACUCACCUCCAAAAGGCCUUAAAAUAACAGCUGGGUCCUCUAUUUGGGUCUCAGUCACGUAACACACACACUUGGCAGAGGCAGCUGGCCUAAAGGCCAAGGGUGGUUUACUCCAUGUCAGGGCAUGCAACUGACACCCUCCAUCCUCGUCCUAUUUCUCCACUUCAUUACAUGCAAUCGGUCACAUCCAGUUUCACUGUACAUUUCCAUGUGAACUGGUGCAACCUUCUCUAUUUGUUUGUUACUGCAUGCAGUAAACAGUGUGUGUGGCGUGCUACAGAAGAAGAGUGGGUAACACUUUACAUUUAGGUAACGUUUAUAAAAGUAAGUACGUAAUUAAUGUUUAUUUAAUCGUUUAUAAGUGCAUUAUAACAAUUAAUAAAUACUGAAAUGUGUAUCUUGAUACUUUAUGUUGCUGAUUAAAUAAACGUGUCUUUUC